GGCAGUAGUGUGGCAGUAGUGUGGCAGUAGUGUGGCAGUAGUGUGGCAGUAGUGUGGCAGUAGUGUGGCAGUAGUGUGGCAGUACUGGUAGAGGUGUAGAGUAGCAGUUGAGGUGGUGGCGGUGGUAGCAAGCCAAUAGUAUUUGUGAUAUAUAUUGGUUGUUUUAAUAUUAAUAAUAUUACUCUAAAAAAAUAAAAUUUGCAGGAUAGUACAAAUACAAUAUAUAUGCAGCAGUAGCAGUUGAGGUAGUGAGGCGGUGGUGGCGAUGGUGGCGGUGGUGGCGAAGGUGGCGGUGGUAGCAAGCCAAUAGUAUUUGUGAUAUAUAAUGGUUGUUUUGAUAUUAAUAAUAUUGCUCUAAAAAAAUAAAAUUUGCAGGAUAGUACAAUAUAUAUGCAGCAGUAGCAGUUGAGGUAGUGAGGCGGUGGUGGCGAUGGUGGCGGUGGUGGCAAAGGUGGCGGUGGUAGCAAGCCAAUAGUAUUUGUGAUAUAUAAUGGUUGUUUUAAUAUUAAUAAUAUUACUCUAAAAAAAUAAAAUUUGCAGGAUAGUACAAAUACAAUAUAUAUGCAGCAGUAGCAGUUGAGGUAGUGAGGCGGUGGUGGCGGUGGUAGCAAGCCAAUAGUAUUUGUGAUAUAUAAUGGUGUUUUAAUAUUAAUAAUAUUACUCUAAAAAAAUAAAAUUUGCAGGAUAGUACAAAUACAAUAUAUAUGCAGCAGUAGCAGUUGAGGUAGUGAGGCGGUGGUGGCGAUGGUGGCGGUGGUGGCGAAGGUGGCGGUGGUAGCAAGCCAAUAGUAUUUGUGAUAUAUAAUGGUUGUUUUGAUAUUAAUAAUAUUGCUCUAAAAAAAUAAAAUUUGCAGGAUAGUACAAUAUAUAUGCAGCAGUAGCAGUUGAGGUAGUGAGGCGAUGGUGGCAGUGGUGGCGAAGGUGGCAGUGGUGGCGAAGGUGGCGGUGGUAGCAAGCCAAUAAUAUUUGUGAUAUAUAAUGGUUGUUUUGAUAUUAAUAAUAUUGCUCUAAAAAAAUAAAAUUUGCAGGAUAGUACAAGUGCAAUAUAUAUGCAGCAGUAGCAGUUGAGAUCGUGAGACAGCGGUGGCGAUGGUGGCAAUGGUAGUAUGGUGAAGGCAGGGCCAUUCCUAGCGCGAUAAUUGGGGUCGGGGGGGGGGGGGGGGGGGGGUAUAUUCAUAUAUUCGUGUUCUGCCAAGGCCUCGAAAUAAGUGCCAGUCACUGACCGGUAAAAAGCCACAGUUUGACCGGCAAAUCUUGUCGCCUGGCGGACAUACGUGACCAGUAAAUUUUUUAAUAAAAAAGUACAUUAAAAAAUGGAGCAGAUUUUAAUUUCCAAUUUUCCAAAGAAGCGUAUAUGUCCGUCUACAGUGCAGGCAAAUAAUGGCGGCGAAGUGACACAUUUUGUCAUACAUGCAGAUACGAUAUACCACAAGCAUUGUACCUAAGGGGCGGAUAAUUUGACUUUGGGGGGGGGGUUGGAAGAUUUCAAAAAAAAUAUUCCUGCAACCCAAGGAGAAAGAAAGAAAAAAUCAUGCAGCAUACAAUCGAGAAAAAAAAUAUCAUGCAAAAAGGGGCGCUCAAAAAAAUAUUCUUGCAUGUAAAUCUACUGAAGCUUUUCACUUCAGUAUUGUAUCCACAGGCUUGAAAGAUUUUGCAUUUUUGAGCAGCUAGCACAUUUGCUUAAAAGAACACUGGGUAAACAGUGGACAGCAUCACAGGGAUAGCCAGUCGGACAUUCCCUGGCAAAAUUGUUGCCCUUUCUAUAAUAAACAGAAAAAUACAUGGGCAUGGGCG
Molecule: long non-coding RNA, 1794 nt
Filed under: Paramuricea clavata
Lineage: Eukaryota; Metazoa; Cnidaria; Anthozoa; Malacalcyonacea; Plexauridae
Source: RNAcentral